Long non-coding RNA from Neofelis nebulosa (Clouded leopard), 807 nucleotides. RefSeq lists it as uncharacterized. The record is from RefSeq and is a predicted model, not a curated record. The transcript has 4 exons. Lineage: Eukaryota; Metazoa; Chordata; Mammalia; Carnivora; Felidae.
UGAGGCUCAACCGACGAAGCCACCCGGGCGCCCCCAAGUGUCCGUCCGCCUCUUGAUCUCAGCUCAGAUCUUGAUCUUGGGGUUGUGAGUUCAAGCCCCACGUUGGGCUCCGCGCUUGGCGUGGAGGAGCCCCCUGAACCAACUUCCACUGAAGAGAUGAGGCCUGGAAGUGCCCUCUGAAGGGCAGUGCCUGACUCCAAGGAGCACCUCCAACGGGGUGAUGGCAGAAACCGUGCCUGCCAAGCCGCGGAGGUAAUGCUGAUGCUGCCGGUCCAGAGACACCACUUUGAGAAUCACUUGGUAGAUAUGAAUAUGCCUAGCUUCACUUUCCUUUGGAGCCUGUUUUUGAUUGACCACCUUUGUCCAGCAGUAUACCAAGCAAGUCCCACUCCAAAGCUCAGGGGCUGGAAUUUCCCAGCAGCCUGUGUAGGAAGAGACCCUCAGAAAUAACUACAGGACCUGCCACCUUGCCAGUGCCCCCAGUUGACAGGACCACCGGUGGACCUCCAGGAUAAGAUCUGACCCAGGAGGGAAAAAGUGAAAAUGUGAAAAGUCCUAUAUAUAGCACUGGAAGUAAACAGGUAUGAUUAUUGGUUGAUUUGUAUGUCAGCUUGGAUUUCAGUUCACAGAAUGUCUUCCCGACUCACCGUCUAGCAUUUAUUUCAAGAGCGUGGAUAGAGGCGUUUUAAAUCGGUUCCCUCACCACUAGGCAGAACCUGAGAGAGACUCGGUGCGGGGCAGGUUGCAAUCGGCCCCUGCAAGUCCUUGAAGGCUCUUAAUUUGGUUCGGGAGACAAGUGCACUAUAA